This 232-nucleotide ribosomal RNA is filed under the name uncultured bacterium. Its description in RNAcentral is "partial 16S ribosomal RNA". It matches the Rfam family "Bacterial small subunit ribosomal RNA", at positions 99 to 334 of the family's 1533-position model. The record is from RNAcentral.
CGGACGGGUGAGUAAUGCUUGGGAAUCUGGCUUAUGGAGGGGGAUAACUACGGGAAACUGUAGCUAAUACCGCAUAAUAUCGAAAGAUUAAAGGGUGGGACUUUCGGGCCACCUGCCAUGAGAUGAGCCCAAGUGGGAUUAGGUAGUUGGUUAGGUAAAGGCUGACCAAGCCGACGAUCUCUAGCUGGUCUGAGAGGAUGACCAGCCACACUGGGACUGAGACACGGCCCAG